RNAcentral lists this ribosomal RNA (419 nucleotides) under uncultured ammonia-oxidizing beta proteobacterium. RNAcentral describes it as "bacterial SSU rRNA". It matches the Rfam family "Bacterial small subunit ribosomal RNA", at positions 197 to 597 of the family's 1533-position model. Lineage: Bacteria; Pseudomonadati; Pseudomonadota; Betaproteobacteria. The record is from RNAcentral.
UGGAGGAAAGUAGGGGAUCGCAAGACCUUGCGCUUUUGGAGUGGCCGAUGCCUGAUCAGCUAGUUGGUGGGGUAAAGGCUUACCAAGGCAACGAUCAGUAGUUGGUCUGAGAGGACGGCCAACCACACUGGGACUGAGACACGGCCCAGACUCCUACGGGAGGCAGCAGUGGGGAAUUUUGGACAAUGGGCGAAAGCCUGAUCCAGCCAUGCCGCGUGAGUGAAGAAGGCCUUCGGGUUGUAAAGCUCUUUUAGUCGGGAAGAAAGAGUUGCAAUGAAUAAUUGUGAUUUAUGACGGUACCGACAGAAAAAGCACCGGCUAACUACGUGCCAGCAGCCGCGGUAAUACGUAGGGUGCGAGCGUUAAUCGGAAUUACUGGGCGUAAAGGGUGCGCAGGCGGUCUUGCAAGUCAGAUGUGA